This 482-nucleotide ribosomal RNA is filed under the name uncultured bacterium. Its description in RNAcentral is "partial 16S ribosomal RNA". It matches the Rfam family "Bacterial small subunit ribosomal RNA", at positions 30 to 507 of the family's 1533-position model. The record is from RNAcentral.
AUUGAACGCUGGCGGCAUGCUUUACACAUGCAAGUCGAACGGUAACAGGCCGCAAGGUGCUGACGAGUGGCGAACGGGUGAGUAAUGCAUCGGAACGUGCCCAGUCGUGGGGGAUAACUACUCGAAAGAGUAGCUAAUACCGCAUACGAUCUAUGGAUGAAAGCGGGGGACCGUAAGGCCUCGCGCGAUUGGAGCGGCCGAUGUCAGAUUAGGUAGUUGGUGGGGUAAAGGCUCACCAAGCCAACGAUCUGUAGCUGGUCUGAGAGGACGACCAGCCACACUGGGACUGAGACACGGCCCAGACUCCUACGGGAGGCAGCAGUGGGGAAUUUUGGACAAUGGGCGCAAGCCUGAUCCAGCAAUGCCGCGUGAAGGAAGAAGGCCUUCGGGUUGUAAACUGCUUUUGUACGGAACGAAACGGCUCUGGUUAAUACCCGGGGCUAAUGACGGUACCGUAAGAAUAAGCACCGGCUAACUACGUG